UUAAGCGACUAAGCGUACACGGUGGAUGCCCUGGCAGUCAGAGGCGAUGAAGGACGUGCUAAUCUGCGAAAAGCGCCGGCGAGGUGAUAUGAACCUUUGACCCGGCGAUGUCCGAAUGGGGAAACCCAGUGUGUUCCGACACACUAUCGUUAACUGAAUACAUAGGUUAACGAGGCGAACCGGGGGAACUGAAACAUCUAAGUACCCCGAGGAAAAGAAAUCAACCGAGAUUCCCCCAGUAGCGGCGAGCGAACGGGGAGCAGCCCAGAGUCUGAAUCAGCUUGUGUGUUAGUGGAACGGUCUGGAAAGUCCGGCGAUACAGGGUGAUAGCCCCGUACACGAAAGCACACAGGUUGUGAACUCGAAGAGUAGGGCGGGACACGUGGUAUCCUGUCUGAAUAUGGGGGGACCAUCCUCCAAGGCUAAAUACUCCUGACUGACCGAUAGUGAACCAGUACCGUGAGGGAAAGGCGAAAAGAACCCCGGCGAGGGGAGUGAAAAAGAACCUGAAACCGUGUACGUACAAGCAGUGGGAGCACCUUCGUGGUGUGACUGCGUACCUUUUGUAUAAUGGGUCAGCGACUUAUAUUCUGUAGCAAGGUUAACCGUAUAGGGGAGCCGAAGGGAAACCGAGUCUUAACUGGGCGUUAAGUUGCAGGGUAUAGACCCGAAACCCGGUGAUCUAGCCAUGGGCAGGUUGAAGGUUGGGUAACACUAACUGGAGGACCGAACCGACUAAUGUUGAAAAAUUAGCGGAUGACUUGUGGCUGGGGGUGAAAGGCCAAUCAAACCGGGAGAUAGCUGGUUCUCCCCGAAAGCUAUUUAGGUAGCGCCUCGUGAACUCAUCUUCGGGGGUAGAGCACUGUUUCGGCUAGGGGGCCAUCCCGGCUUACCAACCCGAUGCAAACUACGAAUACCGAAGAAUGUUAUCACGGGAGACACACGGCGGGUGCUAACGUCCGUCGUGAAGAGGGAAACAACCCAGACCGCCAGCUAAGGUCCCAAAGUCAUGGUUAAGUGGGAAACGAUGUGGGAAGGCACAGACAGCCAGGAUGUUGGCUUAGAAGCAGCCAUCAUUUAAAGAAAGCGUAAUAGCUCACUGGUCGAGUCGGCCUGCGCGGAAGAUGUAACGGGGCUAAACCAUGCACCGAAGCUGCGGCAGCGACGCUUAUGCGUUGUUGGGUAGGGGAGCGUUCUGUAAGCCGUUGAAGGUGUGCUGUGAGGCAUGCUGGAGGUAUCAGAAGUGCGAAUGCUGACAUAAGUAACGAUAAAGCGGGUGAAAAGCCCGCUCGCCGGAAGACCAAGGGUUCCUGUCCAACGUUAAUCGGGGCAGGGUGAGUCGACCCCUAAGGCGAGGCCGAAAGGCGUAGUCGAUGGGAAACAGGUUAAUAUUCCUGUACUUGGUGUUACUGCGAAGGGGGGACGGAGAAGGCUAUGUUAGCCGGGCGACGGUUGUCCCGGUUUAAGCAUGUAGGCGGAGGUUCCAGGUAAAUCCGGUACCUUUUAACGCUGAGGUGUGAUGACGAGGCACUACGGUGCUGAAGUAACAAAUGCCCUGCUUCCAGGAAAAGCCUCUAAGCAUCAGGUAACAUCAAAUCGUACCCCAAACCGACACAGGUGGUCAGGUAGAGAAUACCAAGGCGCUUGAGAGAACUCGGGUGAAGGAACUAGGCAAAAUGGUGCCGUAACUUCGGGAGAAGGCACGCUGAUAUGUAGGUGAAGCCCCUGCGGGUGGAGCUGAAAUCAGUCGAAGAUACCAGCUGGCUGCAACUGUUUAUUAAAAACACAGCACUGUGCAAACACGAAAGUGGACGUAUACGGUGUGACGCCUGCCCGGUGCCGGAAGGUUAAUUGAUGGGGUUAGCGGCAACGCGAAGCUCUUGAUCGAAGCCCCGGUAAACGGCGGCCGUAACUAUAACGGUCCUAAGGUAGCGAAAUUCCUUGUCGGGUAAGUUCCGACCUGCACGAAUGGCGUAAUGAUGGCCAGGCUGUCUCCACCCGAGACUCAGUGAAAUUGAACUCGCUGUGAAGAUGCAGUGUACCCGCGGCAAGACGGAAAGACCCCGUGAACCUUUACUAUAGCUUGACACUGAACACUGGUCCUUGAUGUGUAGGAUAGGUGGGAGGCUUUGAAGCGUGGACGCCAGUCUGCGUGGAGCCAACCUUGAAAUACCACCCUUUAAUGGCUGGUGUUCUAACGUAGACCCGUAAUCCGGGUUGCGGACAGUGUCUGGUGGGUAGUUUGACUGGGGCGGUCUCCUCCCAAAGAGUAACGGAGGAGCACGAAGGUUAGCUAAUCCUGGUCGGACAUCAGGAGGUUAGUGCAAUGGCAUAAGCUAGCUUGACUGCGAGAGUGACGGCUCGAGCAGGUGCGAAAGCAGGUCAUAGUGAUCCGGUGGUUCUGAAUGGAAGGGCCAUCGCUCAACGGAUAAAAGGUACUCCGGGGAUAACAGGCUGAUACCGCCCAAGAGUUCAUAUCGACGGCGGUGUUUGGCACCUCGAUGUCGGCUCAUCACAUCCUGGGGCUGAAGUAGGUCCCAAGGGUAUGGCUGUUCGCCAUUUAAAGUGGUACGCGAGCUGGGUUUAGAACGUCGUGAGACAGUUCGGUCCCUAUCUGCCGUGGGCGCUGGAGAAUUGAGGGGGGCUGCUCCUAGUACGAGAGGACCGGAGUGGACGCAUCACUGGUGUUCGGGUUGUCAUGCCAAUGGCACUGCCCGGUAGCUAAAUGCGGAAAAGAUAAGUGCUGAAAGCAUCUAAGCACGAAACUUGCCCCGAGAUGAGUUCUCCCUGAGACUUUAAGUCUCCUGAAGGAACGUUGAAGACUACGACGUUGAUAGGUCGGGUGUGUAAGCGCAGCGAUGCGUUGAGCUAACCGAUACUAAUGAACCGUGAGGCUUAACCUU
Molecule: ribosomal RNA, 2903 nt
Filed under: Enterobacter sp. MGH 24
Lineage: Bacteria; Pseudomonadati; Pseudomonadota; Gammaproteobacteria; Enterobacterales; Enterobacteriaceae
Description: bacterial LSU rRNA
Rfam family: Bacterial large subunit ribosomal RNA
Source: RNAcentral